GAUGAACGCUGGCGGCGUGCCUAAUACAUGCAAGUCGAGCGGUAAGGCUUUCACAGAUUAUUUGAACAGAUAAGUCCUUUAUGGAUACUGUUUGAAAAUGCAACUACUGGCUAGUAGAAGCAGUCGAAUAAUGUGUGAAAGUACACGAGCGGCGGACGGCUGAGUAACGCGUAGGAACGUACCCCAAAGUGAGGGAUAAGCACCGGAAACGGUGUCUAAUACCGCAUGUGAUCUAAGGAUUAAAGCCUUCGGGCGCUUUGGGAGCGGCCUGCGUAUGAUUAGUUGUUGGUGAGGUAAUGGCUCACCAAGACUACGAUCAUUAGCUGGUCUGAGAGGAUGAUCAGCCAGACUGGGACUGAGACACGGCCCAGACCUCCUACGGGAGGCAGCAGUAAGGGAAUUUUAGGCAAUGGAACGAAAGUCUGACCUAGCGACGCCGCGUGAGGGAAGAAGGCCGUUCGGGUUGUAACCUCUGUCAGUGGGGAAGAAGGUAAGUGAACC
RNAcentral lists this ribosomal RNA (501 nucleotides) under uncultured bacterium. RNAcentral's name for it is "bacterial SSU rRNA". It matches the Rfam family "Bacterial small subunit ribosomal RNA", at positions 28 to 461 of the family's 1533-position model. The record is from RNAcentral.